CGAUAAGUUAUUUGCAAUAUGGCGGCACAGAGUAGAAUAUUGAUUACGUUUUAAGGGAGACAGGGGUUUUAGGCAGGAUUUGAUUCAUGAUGUGUGUGUAGAUAUUAAUGUUAGGGGACAAUGUGAGAGUGUACGUUUUAGUAGGAAAACGUAUUAUCUGACCCACACUCCGGAACAGAAGAGGGCGGUAAUGCACCAAUAAGCUGGAUGCCAACCGCCGUUAAACUGGAAAGAAGACGAAUAUGACAGCUUGCUGUGAGAGACAACUGGACAGAUGAGACACAUAUGUGUUUAUCUGCUGUAGGAUGAAGGAAUGCUACCAUCAAAGGAUUUGUAUCUUUUGUGGUGGAGCAGGACCUGCAAGGAAAGGUGAAAAAGAGGGAAAACCUGAAACAAAAGAAUAAUGUAAUGACUUUUUGUAUUGUGUAUUUUUGUAGGACAUGAACAUGUCUGUAGACUGGUGUGUGCACUGAGGAUGGAGAAGACCACAGCAUCAUCCUGGAAAUGAUCGAGAGUCACAGAUGAGACGCUCCAUCACUCCAGCUCUUACCGUCUCAUCAGGACCAGAUGCUGCUGUGGUGUCUUCAUCCUCAGUGACCCCAGAGCCAGUGAGAGCAUCUAGGGAAAGACCACAAGACACUGAGCAUGUGAUUUGGGUAGUCGUGCUCAUGGGGUGCAGGCACACGAAAGUUUGGAGCAGACACAGCAGUCAGAUUGUCCUGCACGUCUUCCCCUGCUCUAGCUUCAAGGUUGU
Carassius auratus (goldfish) is the source of this 754-nucleotide long non-coding RNA. RefSeq lists it as uncharacterized. The transcript is spliced from 4 exons. Lineage: Eukaryota; Metazoa; Chordata; Actinopteri; Cypriniformes; Cyprinidae. The record is from RefSeq and is a predicted model, not a curated record.